CAGCCGCCACGGGAAUACAGAGGGUGCAAGCGUUAAUCGGAAUUACUGGGCGUAAAGCGCGCGUAGGUGGUUUGUUAAGUUGGAUGUGAAAUCCCCGGGCUCAACCUGGGAACUGCAUCCAAAACUGGCAAGCUAGAGUAUGGUAGAGGGUGGUGGAAUUUCCUGUGUAGCGGUGAAAUGCGUAGAUAUAGGAAGGAACACCAGUGGCGAAGGCGACCACCUGGACUGAUACUGACACUGAGGUGCGAAAGCGUGGGGAGCAAACAGGAUUAGAUACCCGCGUAGUCCCUGUCUCUUAUAC
This 301-nucleotide ribosomal RNA is filed under the name uncultured bacterium. RNAcentral describes it as "partial 16S ribosomal RNA". It matches the Rfam family "Bacterial small subunit ribosomal RNA", at positions 509 to 807 of the family's 1533-position model. The record is from RNAcentral.